UCGGUAAUUCCAGCUCCAAUAGCGUAUAUUAAAGUUGUUGCAGUUAGAACGCUCGUAGUCGGAUUUCGGGGCGGGCCGACCGGUCUGCCGAUGGGUACGCACUGGUCGGCGCGUCCUUCCUUCCGGAGACCGUGCCUACUCUUAACUGAGCGGGGGCGGGAGACGGAUCGUUUACUUUGAAAAAAUCAGAGUGUUUCAAGCAGGCAGCUCGCUCUUGCAUGGAUUAGCAUGGGAUAAUGAAAUAGGACUUUGGUGCUAUUUUGUUGGUUUCGAACACCGAAGUAAUGAUUAACAGGGACAGUCAGGGGCACUCGUAUUCCGCCGAGAGAGGUGAAAUUCUCAGACCAGCGGAAGACGAACUACUGCGAAAGCAUUUGCCAGGGAUGUUUUCACUGAUCAAGAACGAAAGUUAGGGGAUCGAAGAGGAUCAGAUACCCUCGUAGUCUUAACCAUAAACCAUGCCGACUAGGGAUUGGGGGAUGUUCACAUAUUGACUCCCUCAGCACCUUACGGGAAACUAAAGUCUUUGGGUUCCGGGGGGAGUAUGGUCGCAAGGCUGAAACUUAAAGGAAUUGACGGAAGGGCACCACCAGGUGUGGAGCCUGCGGCUUAAUUUGACUCAACA
This 625-nucleotide ribosomal RNA is filed under the name uncultured marine eukaryote. Its description in RNAcentral is "SSU rRNA". It matches the Rfam family "Eukaryotic small subunit ribosomal RNA", at positions 576 to 1205 of the family's 1831-position model. The record is from RNAcentral.